RNAcentral lists this ribosomal RNA (253 nucleotides) under uncultured bacterium. Its description in RNAcentral is "partial 16S ribosomal RNA". It matches the Rfam family "Bacterial small subunit ribosomal RNA", at positions 524 to 776 of the family's 1533-position model. The record is from RNAcentral.
UACAGAGGGGGCAAGCGUUGUUCGGAAUUACUGGGCGUAAAGGGCGCGUAGGCGGCCUUCUAAGUCGAACGUGAAAUCCCUGGGCUCAACCCAGGAACUGCGUCCGAUACUGGAAGGCUUGAAUCCGGGAGAGGGAUGCGGAAUUCCAGGUGUAGCGGUGAAAUGCGUAGAUAUCUGGAGGAACAUCAGUGGCGAAGGCGGCUAUCUGGACCAACACUGACACUGAGGCACGAAAGCGUGGGUAGCAAACAGG